This 229-nucleotide ribosomal RNA is filed under the name uncultured bacterium. Its description in RNAcentral is "partial 16S ribosomal RNA". It matches the Rfam family "Bacterial small subunit ribosomal RNA", at positions 568 to 796 of the family's 1533-position model. The record is from RNAcentral.
UACGUAGGCGGGACGACAAGUCAGUGGUGAAAUCCUGCGGCUCAACCGUAGAACUGCCAUUGAUACUGAUAUUCUUGAAUGUAGUUGAGGUAGGCGGAAUGUGUAAUGUAGCGGUGAAAUGCUUAGAUAUUACACAGAACACCGAUUGCGAAGGCAGCUUACUAAACUAUGAUUGACGCUGAGGCACGAAAGCGUGGGGAGCGAACAGGAUUAGAUACCCUGGUAGUCC